CGGCCAUUGUUUCAAUUUUUAGGGGGUAUCUUUUGAUAGUCUACAUACAAAGAAUGAGCAAAAGAACAGCUAGAACAUAUAGAAAGGCUGACAAUAAUGAAACUAAUUGUUGUUUAUUGUUAUUUCAUUUCCUUAGUCAAGAAUUCAUCAUAGAGACAAUUUGGACCAAUGAGAUCUGCACCUCAAGUUCUAAAUCAAAACAUUU
Molecule: long non-coding RNA, 205 nt
Filed under: Mytilus galloprovincialis (Mediterranean mussel)
Lineage: Eukaryota; Metazoa; Mollusca; Bivalvia; Mytilida; Mytilidae
Source: RNAcentral